UGCUUUAGUCCUUAAAUAAGAAGCAACAAGUUAACAUCAGCUCAAAUUCAUUCGACUUGCGAGAGAUAUACACUACAAUACAGCAACAAGUUUCUUGUUUCUUAGAUAACCAAACGCAGUUUGAAAAGAAAAAUAAUACAAAAAAAAAAGAAGUUAAUAUAAAACGAAAAGUGUCGGUGUGCAGUACACGAGAGAAAAUAAAUAAAUAAAUGAAUGAAUGAAUGCAUGGAAAAAAGUAAAUAAAUGCAAAAUAUUGAGCAGUAUUCGUCGCAGCAACAACAUAAACAACAAUAAUAACCAGCAACCGGCUUCUGAGUUGCUAAAUUAAACAAAUAUUGAUGAACUGAUUUGUGGCAAAAGUUACUUAAUAAAUACAAUAAAAUUUUUUAAAAUAUCAAUAUUUGCCCGAAAGCAAAUAAACAGAAGAAGAUAAAAUACAAAAGAAGUAAGCAGUAAAAAAGAAUUUAAAUCUAAAUUCUGCUAACCAAAAAGAAAAUAAGAUAUAUUAUAUAACAGUGAAAACAGUGCAUAAAAGAAAAGGGCUUGUACGUACUUAAACGAGCUCUGAAAGCAAAAUAAAUUUGCUUCAAACAAAAACAAACAAAAAAUCAAAAACCAACAAGAACCACUUUUCCUAUAAACAGCAAAAGGCAUUGUACAUACUUGAACUGAAUAUCAAUGAAGUUCUCAAUAAAUAUGUGUUCCCGCAACAUUAAGAUCUCGGUGGUGCUGUUUCUUGUCUUGAUUCCACUUAUCACAGCCUUGCCACACAACAAUCACAAUUUGUCAAAGCGAAGCAAUUUCUUCGACUUAGAGUGCAAAGGAAUUUUCAACAAAACCAUGUUCUUCCGCUUGGAUCGCAUUUGCGAAGACUGUUAUCAACUCUUCCGCGAGACGAGUAUACACCGACUAUGCAAGAAAAACUGCUUCGAUUCGAAAUGGUUUGGAGAAUGCUUAAAAGUGCUAUUAAUACCAUCGGAAGAGAUUUCGAAGUUACAGCACUUUAUCAAAGUUAUUAAUGGUUCUCCAAUAUCAUUCCCACAGUCGGUCCCAACAUAACUUUAGUUUACAUAGAUGCAAAACUCUCCAAUUUCCAAUUAAUUUGUACUUAUUUAUUAUUCUAUUUUACGAUUGUUUUUAAUUUUUGUUUUCUCUUUUGCGUUUUUAAUUAUAUUUAAUUAUUUUUUAUGCUUAAUAUAUGCUUAAUUUAUUUUAAAGUAACAAUCAGAAUCUUAAAAGCUAAUUAAAAUAAACAAAAGCAUGCACACACAUGCAAUUCAAAAAAAAAAAGAAUGAAAUUCAAAAUAUGUAUAAUCUUAUUUAUUUUAUAAGUAAUUGUACUUUAUACAAAAAGAGAGUUAAGGAAAAUUUUAAUAAGAAAUUGUAAACUAUCAACUCAAGUUUUGAGCGUGCAGAAGUCGAGCAUUAAUUGCUAAGGUUAAAAGCGAAAUAGCGAUAGCAAAAUAUUUACAUUAAUUAAUACAUAUAUAUAUGUGGACGUGUACUAAUGAGAUAGAGCGAGAUCGAUAGCUAUACGAUUGGUGAGCUUGUGUGCAAGAGACUAAAAGGAAAUAGCGAAAGUGAAAUGCAAUGCGACAGUUAGAAAUCGCGUCAAUUGCAAAACGUUAAGUAACACAUUUCUACAUACAUACAAACUUGCACCAAUAAAAAGUGGCAAACAUACCGUUAUAGCAAAAUAAUGCAGAUUAUGAUGGAAAUUCGUGAAACAUAAGGGAACACAUAUUUUGCUUUAUCCUAUUCCAAACAUAUUCAACAUCACUUAAGCAGGAACAAUCAUAAAACACGUCUCGGGAAAAUUUACAUUUAAAUAAAAGUAUUGAUUUUUGUAUUAAUGAUAUUUUUCCAUUUUUAUAGGCAAAAAAUCCCCAAGAACAACUUUGUGCUUUUUUUAAUUCAGUUUCACUCAUACACGCAAAAAAUUAGAAACUAUAUUGCAGUAAAUGCUAAGUAUUUUUCCAUUAACAAUUUAAAUUUAAAAAAAAUUAAUAACUAAAUUUUUUAGCAAAUGAAAAUAUUUCUUUAUAAAAUUGCAAUUUGUGAAAAACACACUAAAAUCCAUUUACAAUAAAAAAACACACCCACAUUUUUACAAAAAUAUACACACUUUAAAUACUGUAAUUAGACCAACACACUCAUCCAUGCAUACAUAUACAUAUAUGUAAUAUAAUGCGUAAGUACAUAUGUAUGUAUGUAUGCACAUUUUAAAUGUAAUAAGACAGUUAGAGCACUUUUAAGAGUUUCUAAACUUUUUUUUAUAAAAAUAUAUGCUAGGAUUAUAUACAAAAACUAUGUACUAAAUAUUUAAAAACAAAAAAAAAAUGUGAAAAAAAAUUCGAAAUAUUUUAAAAUCAAAAAAAGAUGGCAUCAAGUUAUGGUAAAGAAUCGCAUACACACAUAUGCACAUAUACAUACACUGUUGGGUACAUGUGUGAAUGUCGAAGAAAUUUGUUAGCAAAUAUUUACUGAAAUUAUUGUGAUAAAGUAGUAGAACGACAAGCAAGAAUAAAUAUGUAGUAGGAAGAUGAUGUAAAAAAGAUAAUAAACGCAACAACACACCGCUAAGCAAGCAAUUGAAAAAACCAAGCAUCUGACAGCCGACAUUUGCAUCAUUGAAGACGAUAGGAAAGCGGAAGCAGCUGUCACAAAUUGAUAAAGCCAACAGUACUGCGCUAAAUUCUAUAUACAUACAUAACUAUUCGCAGAAGAUGCAUUACAACAGCAAAGGAAUGGCAUUAACUGAAUGUAAAGCAUAGCAGAUCAACAUGUCUAUGUACAUUGUUAACAGCGCGCUGCAGGCCUUUGAACUGUUAAGACCUGUGUAAUACACACAAACCACAACUACUUGUACCAGUGCAAUAACAACAAUGUUGAACUUUUGAUUUUUCGGCAAGAGUGCUUCGGUUCGGCCUUCUUCAGCGCUUGCGUCGAAGCUCUUCAACUGCACGAAGAGAUGGACAAAUACAAUGAAUGGCGCGGCACUCUCGGCAAGAAGUAAAGC
RNA transcript from Anastrepha obliqua, 3019 nucleotides. It is a transcript of the gene named ion transport peptide, with no coding region annotated. The transcript is spliced from 5 exons. The record is from RefSeq and is a predicted model, not a curated record. Lineage: Eukaryota; Metazoa; Arthropoda; Insecta; Diptera; Tephritidae.